CAUAGAAAUCCCUUACACAACAAAAACACCCACAGGCUCGUCGUCUAAGUCUGGAGGCCUUAAAAGUUGGGAAAUAGCUGUGAUAACGAUUGGAGGUGUCCUUUUGUUGGUCUUGAUGGGGGGGAUGGAGGGGUGCAUUCAGGGCCCUGUCAUAAACCGGAAGACCGCAUGUUAGUAUACGAACAAAAACUGGACAACAAAAGAUUUUGAGGGCAGCAAUCGAAGAAAAAAAGUCAAGGACAGGCACAGCCAGGAGGAGCAAAAAAAAAAACAAAGGAGAAGAAGGUCGGAUAACCCACUAUUUUUGCAAUGUUUAGUAGAGCGGCUUGCAGUAUUUCUUAGUUUUUUCCCAUGAAUUGAAUCAUUUUGCAGCUCCAUGCCUGCAAUUUACAAUACGAUUACAAAUCUGUAAUUUAUGUUGUUUGCUGAGAAAAGAAGGAUCGAUAGUUCUGCAAGAAUGUAGAGUAUGGGCCCCUGUACCUUAAACCAUUUGUGGGGUCACCAAGGGUAAAUGAUUGAAGAGUGAUUUUUCUAUGGUAAUAAAAUAUGUGCUUAUUGUU
Long non-coding RNA from Pocillopora damicornis (cauliflower coral), 560 nucleotides. The record is from RefSeq and is a predicted model, not a curated record. NCBI's taxonomy places the organism in Eukaryota, Metazoa, Cnidaria, Anthozoa, Scleractinia, Pocilloporidae.